AACUUGGAGCGUUGGAGGGCUCCUCUCUUGACUCUCGGCCGAGGCCGCCCUCGCUGCCCUGGCCUACCCCGGCGGUGCCUAGAUUUAUGGGUCCCUGGGCAGCACUCGCCCAGCCCCGCCCUGCGACUCCCCACCCCUCCAGGGGCCCGCUCCGGCGCACACCUGGGAGACUGAGCUGAACAGGCGGUUGGGGAGGCCGAGAUGGGAUCAGAAGGCAUUUUCCGAUUUCCCGGUAAUUAGCCAACCAGUGAUGGCAGCAGUUAUCAAGGAAACAGCUGUAAACUCUUGCCUUCUUUCAGCCAAGUUUUGAGAGCAGAUACAAUGUUGCCUCAUUAAAAAUCGUGAAGACUAUUUUCUUAGAUUCUUUUUCCUGAGCAGCCUGACUUCUGGCCCACCGAACGUGCAUCGUACAUCUGUCUCAAAUAUUUUCCCAAAGCAAAUGCACUCUUUAAAGAUAGAGAUGAGUGUCUCCCUUUCUCUGGCGCAGAUACCAGUACUUCUUUGACGAUAAUAAGCUUUUCUUCCCAGGGAACCAAGGUCAAGUUGACCUGCUGUGUAUGUGCUAAACGGUGGCAAAACAUCUUCUUGUGACUUUGGAAAAAAAAUUGUAUUCUUAUCAUGCUUAAUGUAUAGUCUUUCUUCUGAAACGGUAUAUAACCAUGCGGUAAACCACACUUCCCUGGAGUGCUUUCUUCCCUGGUGGUGAUAGGGCUUCCAGGCUAGUCCUCAGCUCAAUAAAUAUCACUCUUUCUUAUCUAUAGAUUUUGGUUAUUAUUUGUGGCAACACGUAUUAAACUGGAGAGCUGGUGGCAAACUAUUACCCUUUAGUUACAGACGUGGGUCAGUUUCUGGCCCACCGAACGUGCAUCGUACAUGCAUUACAGUGCAAUAUGCAUUACAGUGCAACUGUAAACAGAUGUUUACAGUUAUAAAAAUGUGGUCCAUGAAAGUCUGGCAGAGACUAAUCCAGCAUACAUUAGAUGCAUAGUGAAAAUCUGUCACACUGAGGGUACGGUGAUUGUCGUUCUUUUGCUGAGCAGCAGCACAGUAUAGAAGCAA
Long non-coding RNA from Diceros bicornis minor, 1059 nucleotides. RefSeq lists it as uncharacterized. The transcript has 3 exons. Lineage: Eukaryota; Metazoa; Chordata; Mammalia; Perissodactyla; Rhinocerotidae. The record is from RefSeq and is a predicted model, not a curated record.